Molecule: long non-coding RNA, 1506 nt
Organism: Topomyia yanbarensis
Lineage: Eukaryota; Metazoa; Arthropoda; Insecta; Diptera; Culicidae
Exons: 3
Source: RefSeq, a predicted model, not a curated record
AAAGUGUCAAAAAUAGACUCCUUACUUUUACUAUCUGAUUUCAUCAUUUCAUUUGGCAACCGUGAAAAAAGUGCGAUAGCGAAGUACAUCAAAAAUCCAACUUUCAAUGUAAUAAACUUUUAGCCACUACUUUUAGCAAACUACAACAACAACAAUCCAGACUACUUGAGGAGCACUGUUUGGGAAUAACAAUUGAUCCAGUCCAAGCGAGAAUUUCGCCUGAGAACCACCAUUGCUGGCCACGACCAUCUUUACCGUAGCUUGGGGUAUGAGAAAGGAAGUGUUGAUGUGGUACUUGCUUAACGGAAGGCCCCGACUCAGUGACACUUCCAUAAGUACCACGGAUUGGGUAGUGGGUGGGUUGUUAGUCAGGAUUCGCCUCAAGCAAGUGAUGCGACUGAGAAUUUAUUUUCGUGCAUAAAAGGUUUGAAUAGUUUAUUGACUAGUAUACGUAAAUGUUCGCGAUGCGAAGGUGUUGGAUAACCGUUUAUCGAGAGUUUGUUUCAUCGAAACCAACUUGAGCUCCGGACAGCCGGGUGUCGGGAGUGUUGUCGACAAUAUAAAAUGGACCAUAAAUUAUUGAUUUAAUUUAAUUGAUUUAUUGGCCUAAAAGUGAGCCAAUGAAUAUGACAAUAAAACGUAUGUUCUUCGUGCUGGUAUGACUGCUGCGAAUUGGUAGCUGACUUCUGAUUCUUCUCGAAACUAUUAAUUCCUAUUUUUUUUUCACUCAGACAAUACCAUGCGUAUUCCUCAGGCACGUUAAAUGCCCAGUGGAUUAGUUCCCUAUUUGGUCAAAUAACACUAAACAAACAAAUAAAUUAGUUUGCUCAGUCCAAAGAGAUGUCAGCUAGAUUGGCAUCAACCGGCGGAUACGUGUUCCCUUGUAAUGCCAUCAAAUUAAAGAACAUUUAAAAUUACAUACGACACACUAUGUGCAAUGCUGAAUACAAUGAAUAAUAAUAAUAUAAUUAUAGGCAUUAAAAUAAGAUCGGAAAAAUUAGUUGAAUAACCAAGGUAGUUCAUUUUCAAAGAUAGCACUGUUGAUGAAUCACCUUACAAAAUAGGUGAUAAGGGACGCGGACGAAAAUAGCUGACCACCGCCACAACAAUAUAAUAAACAUUAUUGAACAAAAACAAAAUAUCGAAGCAAGUUCUGCUUGGCGUGCAGAGAAAAAAGUUGGCAGCCAUUAGGUUUUAGGUCAGUCGACAUAACCCUACAAAAUCAACCAGAUGAACUCCGUUUAACAAUUCUCGGUGGUUUGUUUACAUGAGAGUUACGUGAGUUCGAAUGCAACAGAUAAACAUUCGGUGGGCCCCUAUUAUUGGCUCCAAUCAAAACUAUCGACACUCAUAGUAAUAGACCAGCGAAGGUAGUUUUAUCGAGCCAAACAAGCUCAAAAUCCGGAGCCAAACGAGCAUGACGUCAUACAAUGCAAACAAGCAGAACAAGUAUUGCGAUUUUAUUUAAAAAUAUAUUUUGUUAUUCACAGUGGGCUUCACUUUUCA